GUUUGGCGAACUGUCCCAGGCCCCAGGCAAAGGUGGUCAGGGGGAAUGGGGCUCAGGCAUUGCUAAGCAAACGGCACCACUGGUGGUCUCCAGCGCCAGAGGAGGUUUAACUUUUUUAGAUUCUACGUGUAAGUGAUAUCAUUACCCUCGGUUUCUUUAUAUGCAGAAUAAGAAUCAGCUCUCACUUGGAGAAGAUGAGGAUAAAUUAGCUAUUUUUGGAGAUAAUCAUUCAUCAGGGUGAAUACAUUUAUGCCAGGAGAGUGUUUUUCAACUUUAUUUAUAUAGCUAAUACUGUGUUUAGUCAAGUUGCUAUCAGCCAUUGGUUUCUUCAACGUUCUCUUUUAAAACCAAGUGUUACGCCUCCUUUCCUCAUUCCCAUAAUACCAGAUAUUCACUUCUAUACUAAUCAAGGGACAUCAGGUGCUGCUGAAGUAAGACUGACUCCCGCCAAAGCUCCCUCUAAGUGGGGGCUUUUCCUUUAUACCAUGCAACGUAAGUGAGCUUUUUGUUUGUUUGCUUUUGUGAUCUUGUAAGUGGUGAUCUAUAAGACGAGGCAAAGCUAGAGGUUUAAGCCUUUACUUCUAACAUGGAUUGCAACAUGACAACAUCCUCACUGUAGUAGGCAGUCUUCAAGAAGGCCCUGAUUCCCGCCUUCUGGUAUUCACACCCUUGUGUAGUCCUCUCCCCCACUGUAUGAGAAUUGGUUUGUCUGACCAACAGAAUAUGGCAGAAGUAGUGGUAUGUCACUUGCAAGAUUAGGUUAUAAUAGACUUUCAGGACCCGAAGACCAUAGGCCAAACUAGAACCUCAGUUCUAAAGGGACCUGUUUCUGAGGUUAGGAAGUGCUAACCCAGAUCCUGAGCCAAGAAGGCCCAGGUCCUUCUUGUACCUAAAAAAGUGAGAGAGAGAAAAACCUGGAUAUGUAAAUAUAAAUAAGUAGGAAUUUCACUGAAAGAUAGUGAAAAAGAGAGAGCACGUAAUAAAAAGAAAUGAAAUACUGAUAUAUGCUACAACAUGCUUCAACCUUAGUGAAAGAAGCCAGUCAUAAGAUUCCACAUAUUGUAUGAUUCCAUUUAUACAUAAUGUCCAGAAUCGGCAAAUCUGUAGAGACAGAAAGUAGAUUGAUAGUUGCCUAGGCUGGAAGGUUGGAGUGGGGGAAUUGGGGGUGCAAUAGCUUAGUUCAGGGUUUCUUUUGGAAGUACUGAAAAUGCUCUAACUGAUUGUGGUGAUGGUUGCGAAACUGUAAAUGUACAAGCCAUUGAAUUGUACACUUUGAAUGUGUGAAUUGUAUGGUAUAUGAAUUACAGUUGACCCUUGAACAAUGCAGGGGGUUAGGGGUCCUGACUCCUGCCCCUUCCCACACCCCUGCCCCCACUCCACACAGUCAAAAACCUGUGUGUAACUUUAUGUAUAUCUCAAUAAAGUUGUUGUUUAAAAAAA
Molecule: long non-coding RNA, 1440 nt
Organism: Aethalodelphis obliquidens (Pacific white-sided dolphin)
Lineage: Eukaryota; Metazoa; Chordata; Mammalia; Artiodactyla; Delphinidae
Exons: 3
Source: RefSeq, a predicted model, not a curated record